ACUGGCGAACGGGUGCGUAACGCGUAGGCAACCUGCCUCUCAGCCUGGGACAGCCCCGGGAAACCGGGAUUAAUACCGGAUAUUAUCCCGGAUCGCAAGGUCCGGGAUGAAAGCGGGCUUCGGCUCGCGCUGAGAGAGGGGCCUGCGUCUGAUUAGCUUGUUGGUGAGGUAACGGCUCACCAAGGCGACGAUCAGUAGCUGGUCUGAGAGGAUGAUCAGCCACACUGGGGCUGAGAUACGGCCCAGACUCCUACGGGAGGCAGCAGUGGGGAAUAUUGCGCAAUGGGCGAAAGCCUGACGCAGCAACGCCGCGUGACCGAUGAAGCUCUUCGGAGUGUAAAGGUCUGUCCCGGGGGAAGAACGGUCCCGUUGUGAAUAAUGACGGGAUAUGACGGUACCCCGGAAGAAAGCCCCGGCUAACUUCGUGCCAGCAGCCGCGGUAAUACGAGGGGGGCAAGCGUUGUCCGGAAUCACUGGGUGUAAAGGGCUCGCAGGCGGAUCGAUCAGUCACGACUUAAAGGCCCCGGCUCAACCGGGGAGCUGGUCGUGAUACUGUCGGUCCUGAGUACGGUAGAGGGAAGCGGAAUUCCUGGUGUAGCGGUGAAAUGCGUAGAUAUCAGGAGGAACGUCGAAAGCGAAGGCAGCUUCCUGGGCCGAUACUGACGCUGAGGAGCGAAAGCGUGGGGAGCAAACAGGAUUAGAUACCCUGGUAGUCCAC
RNAcentral lists this ribosomal RNA (718 nucleotides) under uncultured bacterium. RNAcentral's name for it is "bacterial SSU rRNA". It matches the Rfam family "Bacterial small subunit ribosomal RNA", at positions 94 to 798 of the family's 1533-position model. The record is from RNAcentral.